UCCCUCUGAAAAAAGAGGGAGAUGGACUCCUACUUGAGAGGAGUCUUAGAGUGCUGCAGCACCGGAGAGAGAGGAACUGAGAAGCUCAAAGACGUUCCGGAGCUGGACUGGGAUAGCCAGACGGAAUGUGGAGGGGGUGACCUUGGCUCCCCCACUGCUGCUGCCAAGCU
Long non-coding RNA from Corapipo altera (White-ruffed manakin), 170 nucleotides. RefSeq lists it as uncharacterized. Lineage: Eukaryota; Metazoa; Chordata; Aves; Passeriformes; Pipridae. The transcript is spliced from 3 exons. The record is from RefSeq and is a predicted model, not a curated record.